GACGAACGCUGGCGGCGUGCCUAAUACAUGCCAGUUGAGCGCUGAAGGUUGGUACUUGUACCAACUGGAUGAGCAGCGAACGGGUGAGUAACGCGUGGGGAAUCUGCCUUUGAGCGGGGGACAACAUUUGGAAACGAAUGCUAAUACCGCAUAAAAACUUUAAACACAAGUUUUAAGUUUGAAAGAUGCAAUUGCAUCACUCAAAGAUGAUCCCGCGUUGUAUUAGCUAGUUGGUGAGGUAAAGGCUCACCAAGGCGAUGAUGCAUAGCCGACCUGAGAGGGUGAUCGGCCACAUUGGGACUGAGACACGGCCCAAACUCCUACGGGAGGCAGCAGUAGGGAAUCUUCGGCAAUGGACGAAAGUCUGACCGAGCAACGCCGCGUGAGUGAAGAAGGUUUUCGGAUCGUAAAACUCUGUUGGUAGAGAAGAACGUUGGUGAGAGUGGAAAGCUCAUCAAGUGACGGUAACUACCCAGAAAGGGACGGCUAACUACGUG
Molecule: ribosomal RNA, 497 nt
Filed under: uncultured bacterium
Lineage: Bacteria
Description: partial 16S ribosomal RNA
Rfam family: Bacterial small subunit ribosomal RNA
Source: RNAcentral